AGGGCACCACCAGGAGUGGAGCCUGCGGCUUAAUUUGACUCAACACGGGAAAUCUCACCAGGCCCGGACACCGGAAGGAUUGACAGAUUGAGAGCUCUUUCUUGAUUCGGUGGGUGGUGGUGCAUGGCCGUUCUUAGUUGGUGGAGCGAUUUGUCUGGUUAAUUCCGAUAACGAACGAGACUCUGGCCUACUAACUAGACGUUGGAUCCCUUUGUGGGUCCAUCGCAGCUUCUUAGAGGGGCGGGCGGCGUUUAGCCGCACGAGAUUGAGCAAUAACAGGUCUGUGAUGCCCUUAGAUGUUCUGGACUGCACGCGCGCUACACUGAAGGAAUCAGCGUGUGUUCCCUAUCCGAAAGGAUUGGGAAACCCGUUGAACCUCCUUCGUGAUGGGGAUUGGGGAUUGCAAUUAUUCCCCAUGAACGAGGAAUCCCCAGUAGGCGCGAGUCAUAAGCUUGCGUCGAUUACGUCCCUGCCCUUUGUACACACCGCCCGUCGCUACUACCGAUCGAGUGAUUUAGU
This 519-nucleotide ribosomal RNA is filed under the name uncultured eukaryote. RNAcentral's name for it is "SSU rRNA". It matches the Rfam family "Eukaryotic small subunit ribosomal RNA", at positions 1161 to 1702 of the family's 1831-position model. The record is from RNAcentral.